AAGGGAGACCUAAUUCAGGUAGGAGACGAAAAAAAAGUAGUCGCUACCAAGAAUCAAUCCCAAAAGGUCGGAGCGAGGCGAAAUUGGCUUUCAAGCUAGGUUCUGGGUUCACACAAGACCUGAAUCAGGAACAAGGGCUAUUAGCUCAGGUGGUUAGAGCGCACCCCUGAUAAGGGUGAGGUCCCUGGUUCGAGUCCAGGAUGGCCCACCUGUACAGGUGGCAAAAAGAAAGAAAAGAAGCGAGGAAUCAGCACCUUAUCUUACUGACAUAGUAAGAGAGAAUGCUGGCUCUGAGUAAAGAGUCCAGAGGAACCUUGAAAACUGCAUAGAGCUAGGUGAAGAAGCCAAAAAAGAAGACCGCAA
Molecule: transfer RNA, 363 nt
Filed under: uncultured Microcystis sp.
Lineage: Bacteria; Bacillati; Cyanobacteriota; Cyanophyceae; Chroococcales; Microcystaceae
Description: partial 16S-23S ribosomal RNA intergenic spacer
Rfam family: tRNA (bases 135-208)
Source: RNAcentral